RNAcentral lists this unclassified non-coding RNA (377 nucleotides) under uncultured Actinomycetes bacterium. Its description in RNAcentral is "uncultured actinobacterium contains 16S-23S intergenic spacer region". The record is from RNAcentral. Lineage: Bacteria; Bacillati; Actinomycetota; Actinomycetes.
UCCGAGUUGACCCCGGCAGUCUCCUAUGAGUCCCCACCAUCACGUGCUGGCAACAUAGGACGAGGGUUGCGCUCGUUGCGGGACUUAACCCAACACCUCACGGCACGAGCUGACGACAACCAUGCACCACCUGUGCACGGCCCCGAAGGACACCGUAUCUCUACGGCUUUUCCGUGCAUUUCAAGCCCUGGUAAGGUUCUUCGCGUUGCGUCGAAUUAAGCCACAUGCUCCGCCGCUUGUGCGGGCCCCCGUCAAUUCCUUUGAGUUUUAGCCUUGCGGCCGUAAUCCCCAGGCGGGGUGCUUAAUGCGUUAGCUGCGGCACGGAAGGAGUGGAUAACCCCCCGCACCUAGCACCCAUCGUUUACGGCGUGGACUAC